UGAAGGUCUAGUCCUGAUAAGGAAAGAGCGAGGCUGAAUUGUGGAGGGGUGGUAAAACUCGCUCAUACAUAUUGCUGUCCUAGCUUUUGAUGCAAUAGCUCAAAAUAAAACGUCAACCACUAUCUGUAUGUGAUUGAGUUACAGCUGCGGUUUUUGUAUUUAAAACGUUGUUAAAUCCCAGAACACCACAAGAAAGAGCCACAGCGUCAGAUGUGAAAUGAAGUAUGGUCUCUCAUGAACCGAUGUGAUUCGAUCCAACAACCUCCACCUUACAGGAUGCUAGGAUUACAGGUGUACGUGGCUGUAAGUUACACAGCCUUAGUGUUCGCUGUUACAUCAGUAAGGCUAUGCUUUGUGGAAUAGUAAAGAAAGUAGUUCGCUGGCAGUCUGCAAAACCUCACCCAAGGAUAAUUUAUUAACCAGAUCACAUGACUUUUUUAUGAAGACAUGUCUGAGAAAAUACAUUAUUUGUGUCAUUUCACCGUUCUUCAAGCAUAUUUUAUCUUUCUUCAUAUGUAGUAAUGUCACCCUUUAUUCUACUAUCUAGCUAUUGGGGAAACUCUUUUACUCUUUGUUUUGAUGUUUGAUGUUUACAUGUCAUUGCUGAUCUAUUCUAUCUACAGUUUUAUAUUUAAGCAGCAUAUGCAUUCUAAAUAAUUAAGACCUGGCUGUGUAAUCCAUUUUUGGCAUUGUCUUAGUCUUACCCAGUGAUGUGUACCAUCUCUUUAGUAAUAUUCAAAUAUGUGUCUGAAUAUACCAAUUUGAUUUUCAUUCUUUAACAUGAACAACCAUGUACCUGUUUGUUAGCUUUAGAAGCAGUUUAACUCUGUAAAUAUCUUUUUAUGAUUAUAAUCUGAUACGAUUAUGUUUCUGACCUUUUUAGACAACAGACUGCCUUGCUUUGUAAUGUCAUAGUUUUCUCCCUGGUAGUCCACUGUAAAAUGAAAAUUCCUAGCUGAACAUUGCUAGCUAACAUAUGUAAAUAACUAAGUAACAACAAAUAAACAAACAAAUAAUCUGAUUAAGAACUGUAACAACCAGUGUUGCUGGUGGAUCAUAACAGCAUCUCGAUUUAAGUGACU
Protopterus annectens (West African lungfish) is the source of this 1082-nucleotide long non-coding RNA. RefSeq lists it as uncharacterized. NCBI's taxonomy places the organism in Eukaryota, Metazoa, Chordata, Ceratodontiformes, Protopteridae. The transcript is spliced from 4 exons. The record is from RefSeq and is a predicted model, not a curated record.